Molecule: ribosomal RNA, 253 nt
Filed under: uncultured bacterium
Lineage: Bacteria
Description: partial 16S ribosomal RNA
Rfam family: Bacterial small subunit ribosomal RNA
Source: RNAcentral
UACGGAGGGUGCGAGCGUUAAUCGGAAUUACUGGGCGUAAAGGGUGCGUAGGUGGUUAAUUAAGUUAUCUGUGAAAUUCCUGGGCUUAACCUGGGCAGGUCAGAUGAUACUGGUUGACUCGAGUAUGGGAGAGGGUAGUGGAAUUUCCGGUGUAGCGGUGAAAUGCGUAGAGAUCGGAAGGAACACCAGUGGCGAAGGCGUCUACCUGGCCUAUUACUGACACUGAGGCACGAAAGCGUGGGUAGCAAACAGG